This 265-nucleotide ribosomal RNA is filed under the name uncultured bacterium. RNAcentral's name for it is "partial 16S ribosomal RNA". It matches the Rfam family "Bacterial small subunit ribosomal RNA", at positions 793 to 1055 of the family's 1533-position model. The record is from RNAcentral.
GUCCACGCCGUAAACGGUGGGUACUAGGUGUGGGUUUCCUUCCUUGGGAUCCGUGCCGUAGCUAACGCAUUAAGUACCCCGCCUGGGGGAGUACGGCCGCAAGGCUAAAACUCAAAGAAAUUGACGGGGGCCCGCACAAGCGGCGGAGCAUGUGGAUUAAUUCGAUGCAACGCGAAGAACCUUACCUGGGUUUGACAUGCACAGGACGACCUGCAGAGAUGUGGUUUCCCUUGUGGCCUGUGUGCAGGUGGUGCAUGGCUGUCGU